CUACGGGUGGCUCCAGGCGAGAAAACUUUGCAAUGUGCGAAAGCACGACAAGGUUAAUCCGAGUGGUUUGUGCUAAACGAACCUUUUGACAGUCCUAGAAACACUGUUGAAUAAGGGGUGGGCAAGUUCUGGUGUCAGCCGCCGCGGUAAAACCAGCACCUCAAGUGGUCAGGAUGAUUAUUGGGCCUAAAGCAUCCGUAGCCGGCUCUGUAAGUUUUCGGUUAAAUCUGUACGCUCAACGUACAGGCUGCCGGGAAUACUGCAGAGCUAGGGAGUGGGAGAGGUAGACGGUACUCGGUAGGAAGGGGUAAAAUCCUUUGAUCUAUUGAUGACCACCUGUGGCGAAGGCGGUCUACCAGAACACGUCCGACGGUGAGGGAUGAAAGCUGGGGGAGCAAACCGGAUUAGAUACCCGAGUACUC
RNAcentral lists this ribosomal RNA (422 nucleotides) under uncultured archaeon. RNAcentral describes it as "partial 16S ribosomal RNA". It matches the Rfam family "Archaeal small subunit ribosomal RNA", at positions 323 to 746 of the family's 1478-position model. The record is from RNAcentral.